This 378-nucleotide long non-coding RNA is filed under the name Equus caballus (horse). RNAcentral's name for it is "lncRNA (ENSECAG00000060121.1)". The record is from RNAcentral. Lineage: Eukaryota; Metazoa; Chordata; Mammalia; Perissodactyla; Equidae.
CUUACCCAGAGGCCCUGGGGACAGGGUCUCGGGCUAUAGUUGGUCUCUGUUUCUUCCUGUCACAUCCACACCCCACCUGGUGGGCUCUGGGAUCCCAAAGCAGGGCCUCAAAGCCCCGCUGCUGAUGUGGCAGGGUUGUGCCAGGUCACAGAAAGUCACAUGCUGUGAUUCAGGCACAUGACGACAUCCCAUGCUUCCUGCCCCAAGACCUGGCUUCAUCAUGGACGGACCUAUGAGGAUGGUUCCAGCCUCUCCACUCAGGCAGGUUCAAGAAAAGGUCGCUGGCGCUUUAACUUUGCCCUGCCCACCAUUAACGCAGGCAGACCUGGUGCUAAUCAGUUAACUCUGACCCCUCCCAAAGCCUUGGAUGGGAGCAAG